AUUGAACGCUGGCGGCAGGCUUAACACAUGCAAGUCGAGCGGAGAUGAGGUGCUUGCACCUUAUCUUAGCGGCGGACGGGUGAGUAAUGCUUAGGAAUCUGCCUAUUAGUGGGGGACAACAUUCCGAAAGGAAUGCUAGUACCGCAUACGUCCUACGGGAGAAAGCAGGGGAUCUUCGGACCUUGCGCUAAGAGAUGAGCCUAAGGCGGAUUAGCUAGUUGGUGGGGUAAAGGCCUACCAAGGCGACGCUCUGUAGCGGGUCUGAGAGGAUGAUCCGCCACGCUGGGACUGAGACACGGCCCAGACUCCUACGGGAGGCAGCAGUGGGGACUAUUGGACAAUGGGGGGAAGCCUGAUCCAGCCAUGCCGCGUGUGUGAAGAAGGCCUUAUGGUUGUAAGGCACUUUAAGCGAGGAGGAGGCUACUGAGACUAAUACUCUUGGAUAGUGGACGUUACUCGCAGAAUAAGCACCGGCUGACUCUGUGCCAGCAGCCGCCGUAA
Molecule: ribosomal RNA, 501 nt
Filed under: uncultured bacterium
Lineage: Bacteria
Description: partial 16S ribosomal RNA
Rfam family: Bacterial small subunit ribosomal RNA
Source: RNAcentral